CGUAGGUCAAAGGACCAGUCACACCAUUACAGUUUCAAGAAGACCACUGACGAGUGAGUAGACAUUCAAGUGAUUUUUCAUUUUGGUCACGCUCAAUGCAAGUUGUUCUCUAAUAACCAUCUAUACUCUCACCCCAGUGUCUCUACACCAUAGACUCAAGACUCAUCUAUCCUAAAGGAAGGUGAUCCGUGCAUCAAUCUUGAAUGAAUUGAUCAU
Molecule: long non-coding RNA, 216 nt
Filed under: Elaeis guineensis (African oil palm)
Lineage: Eukaryota; Viridiplantae; Streptophyta; Magnoliopsida; Arecales; Arecaceae
Description: long non-coding RNA (EGUI_LNC049686)
Source: RNAcentral